GACGAACGCUGGCGGCGUGCUUAACACAUGCAAGUCGAACGGAAAGGCCCUUUUUUGGGUGCUCGCGUGGCUAACGAGUGAGUAACACGUGAGUAACCUUCCCUUCACUUCCUGAUAGCUUCAGUCAACUGAGGCUAAUACCGGCUAGAAAUCCUUUCUUCAUGGUGGGUGUUGGAAAGCUUCGGCGGUUUUGGAUGGACUCGCGGCCUAUCAGCCUGUUGGUUGGGUAGUGGGUUACCAAGGCUUUGUCGGGGAGCCGGCCUGGGAGGGCGACCGGCCACAUUGGGACUGGGGAAAGGCCCAGACUCCUAAGGGAAGCAACAGGGGGGGAUAGUGCACGAUGGGGGGAAGCCUGAUGGAGCAACGCCGCGUGGGGGAUGACGGCCUUCGGGUUGUAAACCGCUUUCAGCAGGGGCGAAGCCUGGAGUGACGGUACCUGCAGAAGAAGCACCGGCUAACUACGUG
RNAcentral lists this ribosomal RNA (465 nucleotides) under uncultured bacterium. RNAcentral's name for it is "partial 16S ribosomal RNA". It matches the Rfam family "Bacterial small subunit ribosomal RNA", at positions 28 to 507 of the family's 1533-position model. The record is from RNAcentral.